GCGGGCGUAGCUCAGUCUGGUAGAGCAACGGACUCCAAAUCCGUGUGUCGCGGGUUCAAAUCCUGUCGCCCGUGCCA
RNAcentral lists this transfer RNA (77 nucleotides) under bacterium. Its description in RNAcentral is "tRNA-Trp". It matches the Rfam family "tRNA". Rfam says of the family: Transfer RNA (tRNA) molecules are approximately 80 nucleotides in length. Their secondary structure includes four short double-helical elements and three loops (D, anti-codon, and T loops). Further hydrogen bonds mediate the characteristic L-shaped molecular structure. tRNAs have two regions of fundamental functional importance: the anti-codon, which is responsible for specific mRNA codon recognition, and the 3' end, to which the tRNAs corresponding amino acid is attached (by aminoacyl-tRNA synthetases). tRNAs cope with the degeneracy of the genetic code in two manners: having more than one tRNA (with a specific anti-codon) for a particular amino acid; and 'wobble' base-pairing, i.e. permitting non-standard base-pairing at the 3rd anti-codon position. The record is from RNAcentral.